This 497-nucleotide ribosomal RNA is filed under the name uncultured bacterium. Its description in RNAcentral is "partial 16S ribosomal RNA". It matches the Rfam family "Bacterial small subunit ribosomal RNA", at positions 28 to 507 of the family's 1533-position model. The record is from RNAcentral.
GACGAACGCUGGCGGCGUGCCUAAUACAUGCAAGUAGAACGCUGAAGAGAGGAGCUUGCUCUUCUUGGAUGAGUUGCGAACGGGUGAGUAACGCGUAGGUAACCUGCCUUGUAGCGGGGGAUAACUAUUGGAAACGAUAGCUAAUACCGCAUAACAAUGGAUGACACAUGUCCUUUAUUUGAAAGGGGCAAUUGCUCCACUACAAGAUGGACCUGCGUUGUAUUAGCUAGUAGGUGAGGUAACGGCUCACCUAGGCGACGCUACAUAGCCGACCUGAGAGGGUGAUCGGCCACACUGGGACUGAGACACGGCCCAGGCUCCUACGGGAGGCAGCAGUAGGGAAUCUUCGGCAAUGGGGGCAACCCUGACCGAGCAACGCCGCGUGAGUGAAGAAGGUUUUCGGAUCGUAAAGCUCUGUUGUAAGUCAAGAACGAGUGUGAGAGUGGAAAGUUCACACUGUGACGGUAGCUUACCAGAAAGGGACGGCUAACUACGUG